UUUAACUUAUAAUUUUUGCAGCAUAGGUGAUUUGAAUAUAAGUAUUUUAUUAUAAAUUAUUUCCUUCAGGUCUUCAGGGAAAAUUCUUGAGGAGAUGCACAAACUGCACACAAUGUGUGCAUGUCCGAAGCAAUGUUUGAAAGUUCUGCCAGUGUGACUUCCGAAACAGUAGAGAAUUAAUGAAGAAAGAAGAGGAAGCCCGUUUUCUACUUAAAGGCAAGAAGGCUUUAGAACGAAAUACAGCAAGCCAGGUUCUACGAAGGAUUGAAAAUCAGCACGCACAAGGAAGCUUGAUGCAGAUAAACUUACAUUAGGAUCAGAAGGUGAUAGCGAUAAUGCCCUG
Molecule: non-coding RNA, 343 nt
Organism: Procambarus clarkii (red swamp crayfish)
Lineage: Eukaryota; Metazoa; Arthropoda; Malacostraca; Decapoda; Cambaridae
Source: RefSeq, a predicted model, not a curated record